CUACGGGUCGCUGCAGUUAAGGAUUUUCUACAAUGCGCGAAAGCGUGAUAGAGCGAGCCAGAGUGUUUCUCAAUAUUUGAGAAACUUUUUCUUAGUGUAAAUAGCUAGGAGAAUAAGGACCGGGAAAGACUGGUGCCAGCCGCCGCGGUAAUACCAGCGGUUCGAGUCGCAGCCACAUUUAUUGGGUCUAAAACAUCUGUAGCUUGUUUUAUAAGUCUCUUGUGAAAUCUCGCAUCUCAAAUGUGAAACGUGCAGGAGAUACUGUAAGGCUAGAGACUGGGAGACGUAAGAAGUAUGCAUGGGGUAUCAGUAAAAUGAGUUGAUCCUGUGUAGACUAACGAGAGCGAAGGCAUCUUACGAGAACAGAUCUGACAGUGAGAGAUGAAGGCUAGGGUCGCGAAAGGGAUUAGAUACCCCCGUAGUC
This 424-nucleotide ribosomal RNA is filed under the name uncultured archaeon. Its description in RNAcentral is "partial 16S ribosomal RNA". It matches the Rfam family "Archaeal small subunit ribosomal RNA", at positions 323 to 746 of the family's 1478-position model. The record is from RNAcentral.